This 449-nucleotide ribosomal RNA is filed under the name uncultured bacterium. RNAcentral's name for it is "partial 16S ribosomal RNA". It matches the Rfam family "Bacterial small subunit ribosomal RNA", at positions 29 to 523 of the family's 1533-position model. The record is from RNAcentral.
AGCGAACGCUGGCGGCAGGCUUAACACAUGCAAGUCGAACGAGAUCUUCGGAUCUAGUGGCAGACGGGUGAGGAACACGUGGGAACAUCCCUUUCAGUUCGGAAUAACGUUGGAAAACUAACGCUAAUACCGGAUACGUCCUUCGGGAGAAAGAUUUAUCGCUGAAAGAUUGGCCCGCGUCUGAUUAGCUAGUUGGUGAGGUAAUGGCUCACCAAGGCUACGAUCAGUAGCUGAUCUGAGAGGAUGAUCAGCCACAUUGGGACUGAGACACGGCCCAAACUCCUACGGGAGGCAGCAGUGGGGAAUAUUGGACAAUGGGCGCAAGCCUGAUCCAGCCAUGCCGCGUGAGUGAUGACGGCCUUCGGGUUGUAAAGCACUUUUGUCCGGGAAGAUAAUGACUGUACCGGAAGAAUAAGCCCCAGCAAACUUCAUGCCAGCCGCCGCGGUAA